AUGAACGCUGGCGGCGUGCCUAAUACAUGCAAGUCGAGCGCACAGACGAGGAGCUUGCUCCUUCGACGUUAGCGGCGGACGGGUGAGUAACACGUAGGUAACCUACCUAUAAGACUGGGAUAACUUCGGGAAACCGGAGCUAAUACCGGAUAAUAUUUCGAACCGCAUGGUUCGAUAGUGAAAGAUGGCUUUGCUAUCACUUAUAGAUGGACCUGCGCCGUAUUAGCUAGUUGGUAAGGUAACGGCUUACCAAGGCAACGAUACGUAGCCGACCUGAGAGGGUGAUCGGCCACACUGGAACUGAGACACGGUCCAGACUCCUACGGGAGGCAGCAGUAGGGAAUCUUCCGCAAUGGGCGAAAGCCUGACGGAGCAACGCCGCGUGAGUGAUGAAGGUCUUCGGAUCGUAAAACUCUGUUAUUAGGGAAGAACAAACGUGUAAGUAACUGUGCACGUCUUGACGGUACCUAAUCAGAAAGCCACGGCUAACUACGUG
This 496-nucleotide ribosomal RNA is filed under the name uncultured bacterium. RNAcentral describes it as "partial 16S ribosomal RNA". It matches the Rfam family "Bacterial small subunit ribosomal RNA", at positions 29 to 507 of the family's 1533-position model. The record is from RNAcentral.